AAACCAACAGGGAUUGCCUUAGUAACGGCGAGUGAAGCGGCAAAAGCUCAAAUUUGAAAUCUGGCACCUUCGGUGUCCGAGUUGUAAUUUGAAGAAGGUAACUUUGGAGUUGGCUCUUGUCUAUGUUCCUUGGAACAGGACGUCACAGAGGGUGAGAAUCCCGUG
This 165-nucleotide ribosomal RNA is filed under the name uncultured Debaryomyces. RNAcentral describes it as "partial 26S ribosomal RNA". It matches the Rfam family "Eukaryotic large subunit ribosomal RNA", at positions 62 to 225 of the family's 3401-position model. The record is from RNAcentral. Lineage: Eukaryota; Fungi; Ascomycota; Saccharomycetes; Saccharomycetales; Saccharomycetaceae.